CGCGGCAAGACGGAAAGACCCCGUGAACCUUUACUAUAGCUUGACACUGAACAUUGAGCCUUGAUGUGUAGGAUAGGUGGGAGGCUUUGAAGUGUGGACGCCAGUCUGCAUGGAGCCGACCUUGAAAUACCACCCUUUAAUGUUUGAUGUUCUAACGUUGACCCGUGAUCCGGGUUGCGGACAGUGUCUGGUGGGUAGUUUGACUGGGGCGGUCUCCUCCUAAAGAGUAACGGAGGAGCACGAAGGUUGGCUAA
RNAcentral lists this ribosomal RNA (254 nucleotides) under Escherichia coli. RNAcentral's name for it is "partial 23S ribosomal RNA". It matches the Rfam family "Bacterial large subunit ribosomal RNA", at positions 2071 to 2324 of the family's 2925-position model. The record is from RNAcentral. Lineage: Bacteria; Pseudomonadati; Pseudomonadota; Gammaproteobacteria; Enterobacterales; Enterobacteriaceae.